This 487-nucleotide ribosomal RNA is filed under the name uncultured bacterium. RNAcentral's name for it is "bacterial SSU rRNA". It matches the Rfam family "Bacterial small subunit ribosomal RNA", at positions 28 to 507 of the family's 1533-position model. The record is from RNAcentral.
GAUGAACGCUAGCGGGAGGCUUAACACAUGCAAGUCGAGGGGCAGCAUAGGGUAGCAAUACUCUGACGGCGACCGGCAAACGGGUGAGUAACGCGUAUGCAACCUACCCUGUACAGGGGGAUAACCCGGAGAAAUUCGGACUAAUAUCCCGUAAUAAUAUCCGGAGGCAUCUUUGGAUAUUUAAAGUUCCGACGGUACGGGAUGGGCAUGCGUAACAUUAGCUGGUUGGUAAGGUAACGGCUUACCAAGGCUAUGAUGUUUAGGGGUCCUGAGAGGGUGGUCCCCCACACUGGUACUGAGACACGGACCAGACUCCUACGGGAGGCAGCAGUGAGGAAUAUUGGUCAAUGGGCGCAAGCCUGAACCAGCCAUCCCGCGUGCAGGAAGACGGCCCUAUGGGUUGUAAACUGCUUUUCCAGGGAGAGAAACUUACGCACGUGUUGCGUGACUGACGGUACCCUGGGAAUAAGCAUCGGCUAACUCCGUG